This 254-nucleotide ribosomal RNA is filed under the name uncultured bacterium. RNAcentral describes it as "partial 16S ribosomal RNA". It matches the Rfam family "Bacterial small subunit ribosomal RNA", at positions 524 to 776 of the family's 1533-position model. The record is from RNAcentral.
UACGUAGGGUGCAAGCGUUGUCCGGAAUUAUUGGGCGUAAAGAGCUCGUAGGCGGUUCGAUAAGUCGGGUGUGAAACCUCCAGGCUCAACCUGGAGACGCCACCCGAUACUGUUGUGACUGGAGUCCGGUAGGGGAGCGUGGAAUUCCUGGUGUAGCGGUGAAAUGCGCAGAUAUCAGGAGGAACACCAGCGGCGAAGGCGGCGCUCUGGGCCGGUACUGACGCUGAGGAGCGAAAGCGUGGGUAGCAAACAGG